UAGUGUCAUUAUUUGACAAUAUACUUUUAAUAUGUUUUUGUAUUUUAAAUAUACGCGCCGUAUGAAACGGAAGUCAGCUUUCCGCGAAGCAUUCUACGGUACGCAAUGCGGCAAUAGUUUUAGCGCGCGCGGUAGAAUAGCACGUGAGAAUGCGAGCGAGCUAAUGAGCGGAUGUGAUGUAACGUGUAUGUAAACCUGUUUGUAGUGUACGUAUUGUCUAUUUAUGGAAUGCGAGUGUUGAAUGUUGGGUAGUUUUACCUGGCGCACUGGUCACUUAUGAACAGAGCGGUCAGAGGGACAACAUCGUAUAUUGGUAAUCAUAGCCAGCAUAGAGACGAAAAGAUGUAGCGAACACUAGAGUCAUUAAACCUUAUUAACUGAACGUUAAGACGAGUACAGAGGACUCGGCGGACAUAGUCCGGGAAAACCCUCUUCAUACUGAAGAGGUGGGUAUUUUAAUGUAAUUAAGAUAAAUGAAUGAUAAUUGUAUAAAUAAUGUAAGAGCUGCUAUUUCUAUAUAAUGUAUAGAUUGAUUAAAACAGUUUUAAUGUAUAUAUUCGCCAAUUGUAAUUAAUGUAACUGACUACGGUCAGGGAGAUACUUUGUCUCAUUGUAUAAUUGCGUGAAUUAUCAUUAUGUAUAAAUAUAUGGUAAUAUGAUGUAUUUCAUGUUACAGGGUUUAUUUGUAUAAUAAUAAAUAUUGGAAACAAGAACCCGGAGUUGUAUUAUUGAAGAAAUAAGACGACUAUUACAUUGGCGCCCAUGUAUCGUUGAUGGCCUUGUGUACCCGCUGACACCGCUUGACGGGAUGUUGUACAGAUAUCUACGACCGUGAAAUAUUAUACACCGGACAGGUAAACUCACCCGAG
Pecten maximus is the source of this 869-nucleotide long non-coding RNA. RefSeq lists it as uncharacterized. The record is from RefSeq and is a predicted model, not a curated record. The transcript has 2 exons. NCBI's taxonomy places the organism in Eukaryota, Metazoa, Mollusca, Bivalvia, Pectinida, Pectinidae.